AUUGAACGCUGGCGGCAUGCCUUACACAUGCAAGUCGAACGGUAACAGGUCUUCGGAUGCUGACGAGUGGCGAACGGGUGAGUAAUACAUCGGAACGUGCCUAGUAGUGGGGGAUAACUACUCGAAAGAGUGGCUAAUACCGCAUGAGAUCUACGGAUGAAAGCAGGGGAUCGCAAGACCUUGUGCUACUAGAGCGGCCGAUGGCAGAUUAGGUAGUUGAUGGGAUAAAAGCUUACCAAGCCGACGAUCUGCAGCUGGUCUGAGAGGACGAUCAGCCACACUGGGACUGAGAAACGGCCCAGACUCCUACGGGAGGCAGCAGUGGGGAAUUUUGGACAAUGGGCGCAAGCCUGAUCCAGCAAUGCCGCGUGCAGGAUAAAGGCCUUCGGGUUGUAAACUGCUUUUGUACGGAACGAAAAGCCCCGGGUUAAUACCCUGGGGUCAUGACGGUACCGUAAGAAUAAGCACCGGCUAACUACGUGCCAGCCGCCGCCGUAA
Molecule: ribosomal RNA, 498 nt
Filed under: uncultured bacterium
Lineage: Bacteria
Description: partial 16S ribosomal RNA
Rfam family: Bacterial small subunit ribosomal RNA
Source: RNAcentral